AGGGUAGAAACCCUGCGGAAGGAUGCAUUA
This 30-nucleotide ribosomal RNA is filed under the name uncultured fungus. RNAcentral describes it as "partial 18S ribosomal RNA". Lineage: Eukaryota; Fungi. The record is from RNAcentral.